Pocillopora damicornis (cauliflower coral) is the source of this 637-nucleotide long non-coding RNA. NCBI's taxonomy places the organism in Eukaryota, Metazoa, Cnidaria, Anthozoa, Scleractinia, Pocilloporidae. The record is from RefSeq and is a predicted model, not a curated record.
UUGAGAAGAACGUGUUGCUCAGUUGCUAUUUUCAUUAAACAGUGGUUAAACCUCGCUGUGUUGCAUGGAGUGUGGAUGAUAAAGUUUCUUUUUUAGGUUACUAUGGAUGCUCCGAAACAACAGAGGUGGUUAAAUGGUGGUAGUAACCUUGCCCGUGGACGCCGAGCUCCUUAUAAUUAGUUUGCAUCGCUCGUCAUGGUAAACCCGACUCGUAUCAUUUUCACCAAGAUCAUUCCUUACGUUCAAAUUGACUAUUCUAGAAACUCACGAGAUGUGGAGACAAAGAAAAGAGCUUAGCAGCGAUAUGUGCAACUUAUUAAACAACGGAGACAGGAACAAUUACUUGUGCUUCUUCAUGUUCGGUUUACUACAACGCCGUAACAAAUCUUAUGGGUGCUGAAGCCACGAUUCGGCUAACUGCAGAAUAACCUGCUACUCAGUUACAUGUCAUUGAAUAAUAAUAGAUUCUAUUGUGCUAUGCCUCGUUCUUGAAAGCCACACGACACAUGUAAAUGAGGUGGAUCAAAGUGGCAGGGCAUUCCGCAAUUACUCCGAGAAAUCUGUACAGGCGACCAAGGUCAAGAUUCUCUAACACGGAUUGACCUUACUCUAAAUGAUGAUAUUGCCAAAUAAAGAG